UACGUAGGCGGAAAAUUAAGUCAGUAGUGAAAUCCUGCAGCUCAACUGUAGAACUGUUAUUGAUACUGGUUUUCUUGAAUGUAGUUGAGGUAGGCGGAAUGUGUAAUGUAGCGGUGAAAUGCUUAGAUAUUACACAGAACACCGAUUGCGAAGGCAGCUUACUAAGCUACGAUUGACGCUGAGGUACGAAAGCGUGGGGAGCGAACAGGAUUAGAUACCCUGGUAGUC
This 228-nucleotide ribosomal RNA is filed under the name uncultured bacterium. RNAcentral describes it as "partial 16S ribosomal RNA". It matches the Rfam family "Bacterial small subunit ribosomal RNA", at positions 568 to 795 of the family's 1533-position model. The record is from RNAcentral.